Molecule: long non-coding RNA, 8023 nt
Organism: Homo sapiens (human)
Lineage: Eukaryota; Metazoa; Chordata; Mammalia; Primates; Hominidae
Exons: 2
Source: RefSeq, a predicted model, not a curated record
GUGAGACUCCGUCUCAAAAAAAGAAAGAAAAAGGAGGGAAACAUUCCAAAUCUGCCAAGGCAUUAAAUAUAUAGUGGAUGCAUAUAGUAUUUUCAAUAUUUAAAAGACAUAAAGUAGGUCUCUCUCCCAAUCCUGUCCCCUUCCCAGAAACAAUCCCUAUUAACUUUCUGUCUAUUCCUAGAGAUAUAUCCAUGUACAUGCAUUUAAUGUAUGUGUGUGUAUAUAUAUACAUAUAGACCUAUUUAUCUUUUGCAUUCACACAAAUGGUAACAUAUACAUAAUUCCAUACCUUGCUUGUUUCUUUUUGUUUUGUUUUUGUUUUUGGGAUGGAGUUUCACUCUUGUUGCCCAGGCUGGAGUGCAGUGGCGCAAUCUCGACUCACUGCAACCUCCGCCUCCUGGGUUCAAGCAAUUCUCCUGCCUCAGCCUCCCGAGUAGCUGGGAUUACAGGCACCCACCACCAUGCCCGGCUAAUUUUUUGUAUUUUCAGUAGAGACAGGGUUUCAUCAUGUUGGCCAGGCUGGUCUCGAACUCCUGGCUUCAGGUAAUCCACCCUCCUUGGCCUCCCAAAGUGCAGGGAUUAUAGGCAUGAACCACGGCACCCGGCCACCUUACUUGUUUUUACUUAUCUUAGGGAUUGUUCCGGGUUAGCACAUGUAGACCUCCCAUAUUUGCUUUUUAAUAACUACAGGAAUGUUUUUUAAACAUUGUUUAGAUGGUCCAUCAUUUACUAGCCUUUUAUUGCUGGGCAUUUUGGUUGUACAAUCUUCUGCUGUCCCAACAAAUUAAAUGUUACCCUUGAACAUAAAUAUUUUGGCGCAUAUGCUAGUUAAUCUAUAUUAUCAGUUUGCAGAAAUAGAACCACUAGGCCAAAUGGCAUAUACCUUUAAAUAUUUAAAAUAUUUAAAUAUAGAGAUAAUCAUAUUGCUCUCCUGUAGAGGAUUUCUUCAUUGACUUCUUCCUGGCAGUGCAUAAGAAUGCAUCCUCCAACCCGUUUCCCUUCUCCCCAUCUCCACCUUGGCCAUAUCAGAGUCUGUCUUUUGCAGGAGAAAAAGUUUUGGUCUGGGAUGAGCAUGAAUAUUUUUAAAACUCACCGCAUGGGUGUCAGCAGUGUUUCAGUUGCAAGUCACAGAAAAUCUGCCUCAAACCGACUUAAAUCAAAAUUAAAAAAAAAAAAAAAGAUGGAGAAGUUGAUGGGCACAGAUAACAAAAGUCCAGAGAGAAAAUGUGCUUCAGGUGUAGCUGGAUCUAGGGAGGGCUGGCAUGUCAUGGCACAGCUUCAGGGGCACAGUCACAUUGCAUUAGCAAACAGUGUGAAGGCUGCCCCCUGGAGUUAGUGGCCAUACAUUCAGGGACACAACUAAGCUUACAGGGACCUGGUCUCUCUCCAUUUCCCAGCCCUGUUUCCUUGGGGUUUGCCUUGUUCACAGGCAGGCUUUCUCCACGUGGCAGCUCUAGGUUUACGUUCUAUGAACUUUAUAACCUCAAUCUAAGAGCCUCCCCUUCUCUGUAGAUACAGCCAAAGUCAUGCAAUUGUUCUUCGUUGAUCUGACUUUGGUCAGAUACUCAUCCCAAGUAAUUGAUCACUUCUGGGAAGGUCUUUUGGUUUGCUUGCCUGUCAUCCAUUCCCUGUUCUUCUGAUAGUAGCGCCUUGAUUUUCUUCCUCAAUCUAAGUCCCCAUGGUUCUAGGGACCUUCCUUCAUCCAGGGCUGAGCAUGCGACCCUAGGCAUGGCCAGUCAGCACCCAUCCUACCAACGGCCAAAGUGAUUCUGAUUCUUGGACACUACCUCCUUGACCACUAACCCAUCUGUAGGCUAGAUGAGUUUGUCUGAGACCAGGAAAGUUACAGCUGAAGAAGAUGGGAGAUGGAAGUGCAUACAAAUCACCUGGCAAUCUUGUAGUAAAGCAGAUUCUAAUUUAUUAGGUCUGAGAUGGGGUCCACUGCAUUUCUAACAGGGUCUCGGAAGAUGUUGAUGCUGCUAGUCCAAGGCCCACACUUGGAAGCAGAGAGACGUAAGGUGGAUCCAAUGGCCCCUCCAGGCUCCUCCUGGUCUAAUGAUUUUAAGAUUUCAUAGCAUAUACAAAAGGAUACGAAACAAACAAAAUCUCCACAUGCAAUCAAUUCUAAUUUGUCUCCACUUCACAUGCAAAUAGAAGUCACAUUUUAAUGAUCAUAUAUAUCCAAAAACAUAAAUAUUAUGAAAACAUUCAUUCAUUUAAGAAAUACAAUUCCAUUUCCUGCCUUGAUGGGGUUGGGAGAGGAAACCUUCAUUGAAUUUUUCUAAAAGAAUCAUACUUUUGACCAAUGUUGGCAAGAAAGUAACUUUUUCUUUUGGGGACUGUGAGCUCUUUGUUGUCUUACUGAAAAAACAAAACAAAACAAAAAAUAGAAGACAAAAAACAAAAAACCAAAACAACCUGCUGCUGAUUCUACUGUCAAGCUAGUGACUUAUUUGUGCUUUACCUGAGGAACCAAUUUGCCCUUGGCAGACACUGGGCUUUAUAUAUCUAGUUAUCCCAUCAUAGCUGGGUGGCCUGGUGGCAAAAACUGGGGACAGUCUACUGUUUUCUUGAGAAUAACACAGUCACUCUCUCUCUCAUGACCAACUGCUCUUCACAUUUUCUUUUUAAAUAAAUUCUUUUCUCAUCAUCUCUCAGUACCAAUAUCUCAAUCCAGGAAUAACUUGAACAGCAUCUAAAGAGUUUCUUUGCUCUCCCUUAUUCAAAUCGGCUAUUGAAUGGACUCCCCCAAUAUCCAGCACCAUUUAUUGAAACAGAAAAAUGAUUUCUUUUGGAAAGCAAUUUCAUGCCUUGUUAUCCCCAACAAUGUCUCUAAAAUACAAGGUUAGAUGGCAUUUCCAGGAAGUCCCUAUUCAUUCCUGGGACUGAAAAGGAAAAAUAAAAUUUUAAAGGGGACUCCAGAAGCCCAUGGCAUUGUCUGCUAGAUAUCUUCAUGCCUUGAGGAUCAUUGUGUGGCAUUGUGAAGAUACUUGCUUUAAAAUCAUGCCUCUGUACAGAAAAUUGUAGCCUCAAACCCUGGUGUUAUUAUGUAAAUAGGUGUUAAUGAAUCGAUUGUACUAAGUAGACUGUGAUUGAGAGUUGCUGUUCUUAUGAGAUGAUCACAGAAAGACAGCUGGAUUUUCUUCUGCUUUUUUUAGAAUCCUUAUACUCGUUCUGCUUCACAGAUAUGGCUUCUACCAGAAGGCGAGUUGUGCAGAAUUCUCAUCUUGUGCUUUAUUUUCUUAUUGCUAAACUGUUAAGUAAGCCAGUCCCAUCCGUAAGUUUGAAAAGCCACCUUAGGACUUAAUUAUUAAAAGGUAACGUCUCCUCCAUAAAUACUGAUCCUCUAGAAAUACUGUGGUGUCCACAUUUGUGUUUUAAGAUUAAUAUAACCCAUCCUCUCCUGUAAGAAAUGGGAUUUUGAGGCCCUCUCCUUGCUCUCUGUGUCUGCGAUUGACUCACUGAGUGUCAGAGCUGCACUUAGAGGAUGCCUAAGCUGGGAAGUCAUUGAUCAACAAAUUGCACCUUGAUGGUAGAAUAGAAAGGAGAGGGGUAUUUAUUGUAGCAGGGGGUCGUCUUUAUCCAUUAGUGAUGUAAAUACUAGGAGAUAGAAGAUUUGGGGAUUUGUCAAUCGGCCUAAUGACAUUUUCCCAGCAAGUCUUUAUUGAGCACCUGCUGUGUUCCAAGGCAUAAUGGUUGGCUCUGGGUAUACAGUGAUGAUCCAGCUGAGCCCUGAUCUCAUGGAGGUAACUUAAAUGAGCCAUUUAAUGCCUGGACUUGACUUGAAAAGUGAAGCUAAUUCCUAACCUCACUGGAUUGCUGUGAUGGUGAAACACAUUUUUGAAAGUAUAAAGUAUUAAAUGCAGAGUUCCUGAGGUCAGAAUGAUGACACAGCUUCAGCAAUGUCCUUAACCUUGAACUUUCUAACAUCAGUUCUUUUUUCUAUUAUCUGCUUUCAUGAAGUUAUCCUCACACGGCCUUCACUUCGCCCUUUGUCUUUUUGUGACAGUUGCAUUUUCCUCUCCAAGGAUUAUCCCACUUUCCUGAUUCUUGAAUGGUGCCAGCUUUUUAUCUGCCUUGCAAAAUAUUUUUCUAAAGGAGGGGCCUCCUAAGAAAUUUCAUAGGUAUUCGAUAUGAACUUAGAAAAGUGACUAUUCACAAAAGAUACUGAGACAAAAACGAAAAGUAGCUUUCUGUAUUAUACAUACAAUAAAAAUCGGAACGUAACACCCCAGAAUACAGUUCUCUUGAGACAUCUCUGUCGUUUCCUAGAGUUAGAAAUAAACAGAGAACAGUUUUGGAGUUGGGCGAGUAGCCAGCCUUGUCGUCUGCAGAUAGGAAUGAUGGGGGUCAUGUUUGAGUGAGGGAGAGAGUGGAGAGGCAGUCUCUUGAGCAUGCUGUUGGAGCAGCUGAGACUUGGAAACAUGUAGGCAACGUUUCUAAGAAUGUCUUUGCUGUACAUGUUGGAGGAAGAUCUCAGAUUUUUGCAUUUAAAAGAUCCUGGCCUGUCACAGCCUCCCCGCUUAAAACUACAGCCCUUAUGAAAAACAGGUGCUGGGAUAGAUUUGGCCCCUGGACCAUUGUCGUUUGCCAACUCCUGGUAGAGUGGAAGAAACUCAGAACAAGGAGUGAGAAGCCUUGCCUUCCAAUUUUGGUUUUAUUACUUUUUAGUUUUGACAUAAUCAUUUAACUUCUAACCUCAGUUUCCCCAUCUGAAAAAUGAGUAUGAAAAGAGGGUAAACAGGAACUUUACAGUGGAGAAACCCGGCAGACACUACCUGAGUCAGGUGGUCAUGGUCAACAUCAUCAGUGCUAAGUCACGAUAGAGUAAGAAAUAUUUGGUCUUUGUCCCUGGUUCCUGACACAGAACUUCUAUAACCCUUGGAAUUUCCUGAGUGGCAUGCAUGAUAGGAGCAUUUUCUAUUAUUCAUAACAAGCCCCUUCAGCCUUACCUGAGUUUCUGCUAAUGCAGUGACUUUUGGUGGGCCCCUAGAUAGCUCCAGGAUGGAGCUGGUUGCCAAAGGAACCAGCCAUGUAAUUAAAGAGUGGAACUUUCAGGGCCACUGAUAUGGUUUGGCUGUGUCCCCAUCCAAAUCUCAUCUUGAAUUACAGCUCCCACAAUUCCCGUGUGUUGUAGGAGGGACCCAGUGGGAGGUAAUUGAAUCAUGGGGGCAGGUCUUUCCCGUGCUGUUCUCAUGACAGUGAAUGACUCUCAUGAGAUCUGAUGGUUUUAUAAAGGGGAAUUCCCCUGCACAAGCUCUCUCUUGCCUGCUCCCAUGUAAGAUGUCCCUUGUUCUUCUGCUGUGAUUGUGAGGCCUCCCCAGCCAUAUGAAACUGUGAGUCAAUUACAACUCUUUCUUGUAUAGAUUACCCAGUGUCAGGUAUGUCUUUAUUAGCAGCACGAGAACAGACUAAUGCAGUCACCCUUCCUUCAGGGAGGGGUGAAGGGGUCGAGAUUGAGUUAAUCACCAGUGGUCAAUGAUGUAAUCAAUCAUACCUCUGUUAUGGAAGCUCCAUUAAAAAACCUAAAGGACAGGGUUCUGAGGGUUCCAGAUUGAUGAAUGCAUCCAUGUACCAGGAAUGGGGCACAUCCCAACCCCACAGGGAUGGAAGCUUCUGUACUCUGCCCCUUCUGGACCUCACCCCGUGUGCCUCUUCCUUGAGCUGUUUAUGUGUAUCCUUUAUAACAAACAAGUAAGAGUAGGAAAGUAUUCUCCUUAGUUCUGUGAGCCCUGAGGAGGGAGUUUUAGGACUCCCCUGACCCCAGAUUUAUAGCCAGUCAGAAGUGUGGAGGGCUCAGGACUUGCAAUUGGUGUCUGAAAUGGGGCAGUCUUGUGGGGCUCUGUGUUAACUCUGGGUAGUUAGUGUCAGAACUGAAUUGAAUUGAAUUACAGGAUACCUGGCUGCUGUCCAGAAAACUGGAGAAUUAGUGUGAGGAAAAACCCCCACAGUUGGUGUUAGAAGUGUUGCGAGUGAAGCAGCCGAGAGCCACGUUGAUAGCAUGCAUCCUUGAUAGGAUUUGAUGAAAAUGGCACCCCAGCCCUGCGGUCAUCCUCCAGAAAAGCCAUUGACAGCAGUUGAAGCAUGAGAAAAUGACCAGGUAGACCUAGGGACAGUCUACAAUAUACCUGAUCACUAUUCCUCAAAACUGCCAAGGCCAUAAAAACAAGGCAAGACUGAACCACGGUCACAGAUCAAAGGAGACUAAGGAGACGUGAUUAAACAUCGUGUGGUAUCCUGGACAUGGGACCUUGGGAGAGAAAAAGGACAUUAGGGAAAAACUGGUGACAUCUGAACAAAGUGUGGAGCUCAGUUAAUAGUCAUGUAUCAGUGUCGGUUCCUUGGUUGUGACAAAUUUACUGUGGCCAUGUAAGAUGUUCACAUUACAGGGACCUAGGUUAGGAGAAUAGGUGAAUUUUGCAACUUUGCUAUAAAUCUAAAACUGUUCUACAGUAAAAGCUUUAUAUUAAGAAAAUAUUAAAAAUCUCUAGGAUUUGGCAAUUGAUUAGGUAAGGAGGGCAAGGGAGAAGGAGGAAUAAAGAUUUUUGUGAAAGUCUUUGGCCUGAUUACCUCGGAAGUUAGCUAUGCGAGUGGACAGAAAUGACAGAAUAUAGGAGGCAGUCUGGCUUGCAAUAGGAAAUAAUGAACUCGUGGUACUAGGGAUAUAUCCAUGAAUGCGAUGUACCGUUUAACAGUUAAAGUAAUAAAAAUGGCCAGAAAGGGCUUUUGGAUUUCAGAUGUUUGGUUUAAAAUGACCUCUAGCCUCACAGCAUUUGGCAUUUAAAUUCUAAUUUAAAAAGAAAGAGGAACUGGAUUAAAAAUAAAGUAGUGAUUGAACUUGUAUAAAUAGCUGGACUCCUGCUCUUGUUUCUAUGUUUCUGUGUGGGUAAAUUUAUCUUUUUGUCAUUAAUGCAUUGCUUGGAGCUUGGAGUAGCUAUCAGCCCCUCUUUAUUUGCAGAAGGACUUAGAGUCAUGUUGCCAAGUGAAACAUGAUUUAAGUGACUCAGCAGCCAGAGCCAGCCCUUUUUCUUUAGCUAGAAAUGCUGGUUGUGUUGACCCAAAUAUACUGGAGCGCAUGUUUUGUUUACUUCAGACAAGAAGUAAGAGCUUUGAGUCAUUCCUUUUUCUACCCUAUUUAUAUUUUACAGCCAGAACUGCCUCAAAAAUACACACAGCCAUUCAUCAGAGGCCUGCGAUGUCUGCUGUGCAUUAACAAUAUAUGAAAUAUGUGAAAUUUAUCAGUGUAGGAUCAAACCACAGGCAAGACCUCACGCCUGCAUAGGUCAUGAACAGGCACUUCACCGAAAAAGAAAUUCAGGUGGCAAUACAUGUGUGAACAAAAUUAAACUUUGCAAAUAACAAAAGAUGUAUAAUUAAACUUGUGAAGAUAGCAAAGAAAUGCAGGAACCAAUGCUGGCAAGAGUAUGAAGAAGAGUACUCUGGCAGGAUUAUAGAUCAACAUAAUAUAGGGGGAGGGCAGCUUGAAAUAUAUAUUCCAGACUUUAAAAUGUAUUUAUCCUUCGUUUCAGUCAGUCCACUUCUAGAGAUUAUCCUAAGGAAACAAUGGGAUAGGCAUAUAAAGAUAUAUGUAAAGAAUGACCAUCUAAGCAUUGUUUAAAAUAGUAAAGCACUGAGGAUAACAUCCAACAAGACAGACACUGGUUGGCUUCAGUGUUGUAGAUGUAGCAAUCAUAAUAGAAAGGCUUGCAUUAAAUUUUUGAAAAAACAUAUUUCAAAAUGCAUUCAUAUAGUCCAGUUUAUACAAAAUGUAUGUGUGCAUGUACACUUCUAAAAGAACAUAUGCUAAAUUUUAAAUGCUUUUAAACUGUAAAUGAAAAUAAAAAUGUUUUAAUUCUAAACCAAAAUGUGGACUCUCAGUGCUAAAUUCUGAGUGAUGUAAACGGUCCUCUCAUAAAUUACUAUCAUUUUUGUAGAGCCUAAAACAUGUUCCCAUCACCACCCAUAUGCUUCCUCUCCAAAAUAAUCCUGAAUUUCUUAAAUAAAAAUUGUAGUUCAUCCUAAA